Molecule: long non-coding RNA, 727 nt
Organism: Passer domesticus (house sparrow)
Lineage: Eukaryota; Metazoa; Chordata; Aves; Passeriformes; Passeridae
Exons: 2
Source: RefSeq, a predicted model, not a curated record
GAAACUUUUUUUAAUGUCCUGACUGAACAGCUUGAGGUUAUGUCCUCUUGUUCUGUUCUUGGUAGGAUGGCAGAAGAGGCUGAUCCACACCUGGCUGCAGCCUCCUUUCAGGCAGUUGUAGAGAGUGAUGAGGUCACCCCUGAGCCUCCUUUUCUCCAGGCUGAACCCCCAGCUCCCUCAGCUGCUCCUCACAGGACAUGCACUCCAGAACCUUCACCGACCUCAUUGCCCUGCUCUGGAUACUGGAAUGUCCUUCCUGAAUUGAGUGGCCCAGAACUGGACACAGGAUUCAAGAACCCUUUCUUGGAUGCCUGCUAGGGAGACAGCUGAUGUUUAACACAAGAAGUUUGAAGUUGUGUUUUGCCCAUGUCCACAUGAAGUACAGGCAGUCUGUACUCAGCAGCAGCACAAGGACUGUGCAUUCUACAGGACUGCUCCUAUUGAGACAUGCAACUUGCUGAUGCAGACAAAACCUGAACCUAGGAUGAAUUCCAGACAUUGGACUUUGUCUUGCCUCAUCUGCAGAACUUACCCUGCCAGGAAAUCUUGAACAAGAACACUAGAGAGCUACUGUGGAAAGCAGGAGUGUUGUCUUUGAAAAGCAAUACACCAAUAAUACAACUUUGAAAUUUUCUAAGAUACAAAAAAACCCUGCAAAUCACCAUCCAGAAGAAAAAAAAAAAAGCCUAUAUUUGUGAUAUUGGCCCUGUCUCCUGCUUUAUAUUAU